CUGCCUUUCAGAGGGGGAUAACAGUUGGAAACGACUGCUAAUACCGCAUAACGCUGCGAUGGGGCAUCCCGAUGCAGCCAAAGGAGCAAUCCGCUGGAAGAUGGGCUCGCGGCCGAUUAGCUAGUUGGUGGGGUAACGGCCCACCAAGGCGACGAUCGGUAGCCGGACUGAGAGGUUGAUCGGCCACAUUGGGACUGAGACACGGCCCAGACUCCUAUGGGAGGCAGCAGUGGGGGAUAUUGCACAAUGGAGGAAACUCUGAUGCAGCGACGCCGCGUGAGGGGAGACGGUCUUCGGAUUGUAAACCUCUGUCUUUGGGGAAGAAAAUGACGGUACCCAAAGAGGAAGCUCCGGCUAACUACGUGCCAGCAGCCGCGGUAAUACGUAGGGAGCGAGCGUUGUCCGGAAUUACUGGGUGUAAAGGGAGCGUAGGCGGGCGAGAAAGUUGAAUGUUAAAUCUACCGGCUUAACUGGUAGUCUGCGUUCAAAACUUCUUGUCUUGAGUGAAGUAGAGGCAGGCGGAAUUCCUAGUGUAGCGGUGAAAUGCGUAGAUAUUAGGAGGAACACCAGUGGCGAAGGCGGCCUGCUGGGCUUUAACUGACGCUGAGGCUCGAAAGCGUGGGGAGCAAACAGGAUUAGAUACCCUGGUAGUCCACGCUGUAAACGAUGA
RNAcentral lists this ribosomal RNA (670 nucleotides) under uncultured bacterium. RNAcentral describes it as "bacterial SSU rRNA". It matches the Rfam family "Bacterial small subunit ribosomal RNA", at positions 126 to 812 of the family's 1533-position model. The record is from RNAcentral.